Molecule: long non-coding RNA, 1011 nt
Filed under: Parus major (Great Tit)
Lineage: Eukaryota; Metazoa; Chordata; Aves; Passeriformes; Paridae
Description: lncRNA (ENSPMJG00000016291.1)
Source: RNAcentral
ACAACUAAAAUCAUUGUUGUCAUCACAGUGAACAGCCUUCACUGAAUAAACUGGUCAGCAUGUCUUCAGUCAGUUGUAAUAGACUGUGACUUCCUUCAGUGUCCUGUUAAGUGGUUUUUUGAUCAGAGAAGAUGGGUUGCAGCUCUACCUAUUGCUCAAGCCACAGGCAUGCAAACUCAUAUUCUGUAGUUUAACUGAGAGACUUGGAACAAAUUUCAGCUCCAUCUAGCCCUGCUUACUUUGCCUACUGUGAUUCUGAUGGUCUGUUGAAGAAAGUUUUGGUUUUCUCCAGUUUCCUAUGACAUUAGGAAUCCAAGGUCAUCAAAACAUAUUACACUGUAGACCUAAAGACAUCUGAUCUGAAGAUAAUAAGAUACUCCUGUUGAAAGCACAUUUGACUGCAGCCCCCGAGAUGAAAGGAAAGAAAUAUUGCUUCUACACCAUUGCUUCAAAGAAGAUUGACAAAGGAGGGAAGAAAGGGGAGUCCCCACUUCAGUCAUGGCUGAAGUUAGUGCUGUUCCUGCAGCAGUGGAGAUGCCAUGCUGUUAGAGACACUGUCCUGUUGAGAGAAUUAUAUUGCCCUGCAGUAUGCAAGACAAAUGGACAAGUUACAGCCUAGCCCAGUCCAGAAAUCUGCUGGUCCAUGUGUGCUUGUGAAUGUAGUCAAUAUUGAAAUCACACAGGAAAAAAAAUAAGAAAUGAUACUUUAAAAGUGGAUGGUGAAUCAAGAAAACAGCAACAAAACCUGUAAGAAAACAAAGAGAGAAGCUGAAGUUAAAAGAAAAAAGUUGUUUUUCUUUUGGAAUACACUUUGAAAUGUAAUGACUUAAUGCAGACAGUAACAUCUGGUUCUGUGCAAAAGAAAAUUAAUCUGCAUCCCUUGAUAUCUUCAAAACAUGUAACAAAAUUGAAGAGAAACUUGAAGGCCACAUUAUUUCUGGUUGGUAUUCAGUUGUGUAUGAAAUAAGGUCUGCUUGACAGGUAAUAAAUUCCUGCUGAUGUCUGAAAACA